This is a non-coding RNA of Salvia hispanica, 360 nucleotides long. The record is from RefSeq and is a predicted model, not a curated record. Lineage: Eukaryota; Viridiplantae; Streptophyta; Magnoliopsida; Lamiales; Lamiaceae.
UCACAAAAUAUCAGUUCGUAAAGAAAGUUAUACAGAGAAUGAAGAUAAACUUUUGUGUGAAGUUUAUAUGGAAAUUUCACAAUAUCCUAGAGUAGGGAUAUCACAAUCAGGACAACGAUUCUAGCAGCGCGUGGAAGAUGGAUUCAAUGAAGGUAGAGAUCAGACUUGGCCAGAGCGUACGCAAAGAUCUAUGCAGGCUCGUAUUCAAGCUAUCGAGAAAGCAACAAAAAAAUUCCAUGGAUGUAUCCGAGCUGCUGAAGCAAGAAACCGAAGCGGUGCUUCAAAUGCAGACAUAAUGAAUGAAGUCAUGCAAAUGCUCAAGACAGAUUCAAAUUACAAAUCGGGUUGGAAAUUUUCUCA